Salvia splendens (bonfire salvia) is the source of this 1069-nucleotide long non-coding RNA. RefSeq lists it as uncharacterized. Lineage: Eukaryota; Viridiplantae; Streptophyta; Magnoliopsida; Lamiales; Lamiaceae. The record is from RefSeq and is a predicted model, not a curated record. The transcript has 2 exons.
AUGCACUCUAAUUAAUAUCCUUUAAAUUCUCUUUCUCGAUUUUCGUGCAUGUUCGAUUAUUCGACGGCCGCCCAAGGCGUCGCGUGCGACGCCGGUCGGCCGCUUACGCUCGCUCUUUCCUUCGUUGACUCCUCGUAUCUUCCCUAACGUCGAAAAUAAUUUCUAAAAAAAUUAUUUACGCGCAUACUUUAAUUAUCGCAAUCAUUUAUCGUUGAAGAGGUAUAAUUUCAUUUCAUACUUAGGAUAAAAUUAUUCAUUCUUUAAAACGUUCCGGAAAUCAUUACAUAAUUCGCCACGAUUAAUUAUCGGCCCAUCGAUUAAUUAAUUUGGCCCUCACCUUUAUACUUCCAAUUAAAAUAAAAAGGCCCAAAAAAAACAAGGCCCAAAUUUUUUUUUCUCUAUCCCCUCCACAUCUCUCUUCCUCUCUAUUCAUCUCUCUCUCUCUUCGACGGAAACUGCCCAAAUUCUCCCCCAAGGUUGGGUCGCCGCCUCCGCGAAUCGUCUCCCUCGUCGACCCCCACGCCGACGAUCACUGCUCGCCGGGAGAAACGUCGUCUUCCGCCGCUGCCGCUGGAGUCGUCGGAAAAAGCUGUUGUCCGCCGCUGCUACUGCUGCCACGGGGAGGGAAGCCGCUGUCGUCGCACCGUCGGAGAGGCGCCAGUCGUCGCUGCUGCCGCCGGACAGCACGGCUGCUUUCGCCGGCACCCCGAACCUCUCCGAUCAGCCCCGCACUCCACCCGAACAGCCCGAUUACAAGAUAAAUGGUGGAAGAUGGAGAGUGGAGAAGUUGAAAGUUGGGAAGUCUCCACUUGAAUGAAACCGCCGAUCGUGGAGAGGAGAAGAAGGAGAAGGGUUCUUGGGCUUGUUCCCUUUUUUUGGAAAAGAAUGGACUCCCACUUUAAUUAGAUUGGUUUGGGCUCAUUUAGUUGAAAGCCCAAGUUUGUAAAAUUCUUUAUCAAUGGGUUGGAUUUCUUUAAAUAAUUAGGGUCCAAACCAUUUUGUAGAUAGACAAUUGGACUCUAAUUAAAUUUGCAAAGCCCAAUAUAAAUUCAUACUUUAUAUUUUCGUA